AACGCACCUUGCACCCUUUGGUAUUCCGAAGGGUACACCCGUUUGAGUGUCAUUGUAAUCUCACUACAACCACUUUAUUGUUGUUUGUAUGUGGACUUGGAUGUUGCCGUGUAACAAACGGCUCGUCUGAAAUGCCUGAGUGUAUCCUGCUUUUGCGGCGUAUUCGGUGUGAUAAAUCUUCACCGGAGUUGACUUUCGGGUCGCGCUUGUAUUGUCGGGCUCUAUGCUUCCAACCGUCCUAACAAGACAAUCUCUGACAAUUUGACCUCAAAUCGGGUGGGACUACCCGCUGAACUUAA
RNAcentral lists this unclassified non-coding RNA (299 nucleotides) under uncultured Serendipita. RNAcentral describes it as "sequence contains ITS2". Lineage: Eukaryota; Fungi; Basidiomycota; Agaricomycetes; Sebacinales. The record is from RNAcentral.